CUCCCACUGGGCGGAAAAUGACUCUUUCCUAAUGUGAAUUGGCAUCAUUGUAUUAUGUUCGUCUACGGUUAAGUAGUGUUUACUUUCAAAUUUGUUUAAAAAAUUUGUUUAAAAAAUUUGAUAGCUGCUCCUCAACAUUUUGUCUGUUCCCGAAACCUAGCCGUCAGUCACCCGUGCUAUUUUACUUUAUUUGGUUAUUUACUUCGCCUUCCGAAUGGAGCUCCAAAAACGAAAUUUAAAACAUGACCUAGGCAACUCUGAAUCGGCUUUUUUCGAUGAUUUACCUUUGAUGAUAGUUACUUCCUCUCCGAUUGAGAGAAAUAGAGGUAAUAAAACAAGCUCAAAACAUGUAAAAAACCCACCUUGUGAAGAUAAUCAUACAUGGUCUAAAUUAUUUGCAACAUAUCAAACUACAUCUGUGAAAGAUAAGCAGAUGGACAAAAAUUGUCAUUUAUCCUUGGAGGAAUCUACCACAACGGAAAAUACAUCUUCUUCAUCCUAUCAAACCAUUGCAGAGCAGAAAACUAAAAUUCUUUUAACUCCUGGAAAAAGGUUUCAAGUUGUUUCAAGCAGUUCUAGGAAAAUACAUCUCAGAAACCAAACACCCAAAAAAUCCAGUUCGGCAGCCAGUCAUCAGUACUGUCACAAUUGGGAAAGUGAAGAAGAGGAGGAGGAGGAAAGCAUUCAAACUAUUAAAAAUAGACUGAAGAAUGUCGAAAAUUUGUCAGCCAAAGACAUAGAAAGAUAUGAACGAAUUUUACUAAAAUUGGUGGAAUCAAACAAUAUGAGAAAAGAUGUUGAAGUUAACAAUUUUUCAGUGGAAAAUUCAAAUUUGAUGCAUUUUAUCAAAAAAAAUAUUGGCCAAUGCAAUUUGUCCCCUAGAACAAUUCGAAUGCUGGGAAAACAUAGCCAAGAGCAGGAAAAACGGUUGAUUGGUUUAGCAGUCGCUAAGAGAAAAUCCGCAACUGAAAUCCAAAAAAGGAUUAACAGACAGUUUUUGGAAACAAAACAACAGAUUAAAAACCGAGAGGAGCUUGAAAUGAAAUUAGUUAAAGCUGCUGGUCUGCGUCAAAAAGCCACCACCACUUCGACAUUAUUCAAUCAAGCACACAUUGCCCAUCACCGGCAGUUCGUUACCGAAAGUCGUCAAAAGGACAACCUUUUGCGAUUUCAGAAGCAAAUCCAAAGCGAAGCUAUAAAAAAUAAUACCCAGACCAACAAGAUUGUUAAGGGACUUUGGAAAACGUUUUUACAUGAACAAUAUAAUGAGCUGCGUAAGGAGGUAAGAGAACGGCAUCUCCAAAAUGCUGCGAUCCUUAAAGAAUCGGAAACAAAUCUUCAUCGUCUAAAAAACAACUAUGAGGAGAAAUUAAAGGAAUUAAAAGAUGUAGUUGCAGCUACAGCUGCCGAAGCUGGGAUAGAGAAAAAAGAAGUGAGCCGAGAAAUUGAACGUCUUCAACGAAAAAUUCGACACCAGUUUGAAACGGAGUUUGAAACGUUGUUGGGUAAUAUUGAGACAAAAGGGAACCACAAACGAUUCAUCAGGGAUGAAAAGGCAUCUAAACUUAAAAAACAGCUUCAGAAGGGAGAUUAUGUGUUUGAAGUGUAACACUCACUUGACUGAAAAACGUAAACGAAAUUAUACGUUCUUUAGAAAGCGUCUCAGUGCUAUACAAAUGAUCUAACAGCCUAAUUUAGGCGUCGGGCACCUUCACAAGGCUUGCAUAUAUAUGAAAUGGGAAAUAUAUUGUGAAGUUCGCAAUGACUCCGAAUAGAUUCCAUCGCGCUUAAUGACAUCUCAGUCUCAGCCUUGAAAAAACAAAUAAUAAUAACAUAAAUAAAUAAAAUGUAAAAAUUG
This 1858-nucleotide unclassified non-coding RNA is filed under the name Daphnia magna. Its description in RNAcentral is "myosin-9, transcript variant X5". The record is from RNAcentral. Lineage: Eukaryota; Metazoa; Arthropoda; Branchiopoda; Diplostraca; Daphniidae.